AAUACCUCUCAAGCAAAUUUGCUUGGUCGUGGAAGAUGAGUAUGCUUGCAUUCUCACUUCUGAAAUUCAAAGGCGGAUGAUCUCAUAUCCCCAGGUGUAGUAAGUUAAUCUUUUCGCUUGGUGCAUGCGAUUGUCCUGCCGUUGACCCCCAUGUUUUCAA
This 160-nucleotide unclassified non-coding RNA is filed under the name uncultured Wilcoxina. RNAcentral's name for it is "sequence contains ITS2". Lineage: Eukaryota; Fungi; Ascomycota; Pezizomycetes; Pezizales; Pyronemataceae. The record is from RNAcentral.